UACGUAGGGGGCAAGCGUUGUCCGGAUUUAUUGGGCGUAAAGAGCGUGUAGGCGGCCAGGUAGGUCAGCUGUGAAAACUCGAGGCUCAACCUCGAGACGCCGGUUGAAACCAUCUGGCUAGAGUCCGGAAGAGGAGAGUGGAAUUCCUGGUGUAGCGGUGAAAUGCGCAGAUAUCAGGAAGAACACCCGUGGCUAAGGCGGCUCUCUAGUCCGGUACUGACGCUGAGACGCGAAAGCGUGGGGAGCGAACAGG
This 253-nucleotide ribosomal RNA is filed under the name uncultured bacterium. Its description in RNAcentral is "partial 16S ribosomal RNA". It matches the Rfam family "Bacterial small subunit ribosomal RNA", at positions 524 to 776 of the family's 1533-position model. The record is from RNAcentral.